CAUUACCGAGUUUACAACUCCCAAACCCCUGUGAACAUACCUAUACGUUGCCUCGGCGGAUCAGCCCGCGCCCCGUAAAACGGGACGGCCCGCCCGAGGACCCCUAAACUCUGUUUUUAGUGGAACUUCUGAGUAAAACAAACAAAUAAAUCAAAACUUUCAACAACGGAUCUCCUGGUUCUGGCAUCGAUGAAGAACGCAGCAAAAUGCGAUAAGUAAUGUGAAUUGCAGAAUUCAGUGAAUCAUCGAAUCUUUGAACGCACAUUGCGCCCGCCAGUAUUCUGGCGGGCAUGCCUGUUCGAGCGUCAUUUCAACCCUCAAGCUCAGCUUGGUGUUGGGACUCGCGGUAACCCGCGUUCCCCAAAUCGAUUGGCGGUCACGUCGAGCUUCCAUAGCGUAGUAAUCAUACACCUCGUUACUGGUAAUCGUCGCGGCCACGCCGUUAAACCCCAACUUCUGAAUGUUGACCUCGGAUCAGGUAGGAAUACCCGCUGAACUUAA
This 501-nucleotide ribosomal RNA is filed under the name uncultured Fusarium. RNAcentral's name for it is "eukaryotic LSU rRNA". The stretch from base 155 to 308 matches the Rfam family "5.8S ribosomal RNA". Lineage: Eukaryota; Fungi; Ascomycota; Sordariomycetes; Hypocreales; Nectriaceae. The record is from RNAcentral.